AGACGAACCGUGCAAACGUUGUUCGGAAUCACUGGGCUUAAAGGGCGCGUAGGCGGGCAAGCAAGUCCGGGGUGAAAUCUUUCGGCUCAACCGGAAAAGUGCCUUGGAUACUGCUUGUCUGGAGGGAGGUAGGGGCAUGUGGAACUUCUGGUGGAGCGGUGAAAUGCGUUGAUAUCAGAAGGAACGCCGGUGGCGAAAGCGACGUGCUGGACCUCUUCUGACGCUGAGGCGCGAAAGCUAGGGGAGCGAACA
RNAcentral lists this ribosomal RNA (252 nucleotides) under uncultured prokaryote. Its description in RNAcentral is "partial 16S ribosomal RNA". It matches the Rfam family "Bacterial small subunit ribosomal RNA", at positions 523 to 774 of the family's 1533-position model. The record is from RNAcentral.